AUUGAACGCUGGCGGCAGGCCUAACACAUGCAAGUCGAGCGGCAGCACGGGAAGCUUGCUUCCUGGUGGCGAGCGGCGGACGGGUGAGUAAUGCAUAGGAAUCUGCCCGGUAGUGGGGGAUAACCUGGGGAAACCCAGGCUAAUACCGCAUACGUCCUACGGGAGAAAGCAGGGGCUCUUCGGACCUUGCGCUAUCGGAUGAGCCUAUGUCGGAUUAGCUGGUUGGUGAGGUAAUGGCUCACCAAGGCGACGAUCCGUAGCUGGUCUGAGAGGAUGAUCAGCCACAUCGGGACUGAGACACGGCCCGAACUCCUACGGGAGGCAGCAGUGGGGAAUAUUGGACAAUGGGCGCAAGCCUGAUCCAGCCAUGCCGCGUGUGUGAAGAAGGCCCUCGGGUUGUAAAGCACUUUCAGUGGGGAAGAACGCCUUCCGGUUAAUACCCGGGAGGAAAGACAUCACCCACAGAAGAAGCACCGGCUAACUCCGUGCCAGCAGCCGCGGUAAUACGGAGGGUGCGAGCGUUAAUCGGAAUUACUGGGCGUAAAGCGCGCGUAGGUGGCUUGAUAAGCCGGUUGUGAAAGCCCCGGGCUCAACCUGGGAACGGCAUCCGGAACUGUCAGGCUAGAGUGCAGGAGAGGAAGGUAGAAUUCCCGGUGUAGCGGUGAAAUGCGUAGAGAUCGGGAGGAAUACCAGUGGCGAAGGCGGCCUUCUGGACUGACACUGACACUGAGGUGCGAAAGCGUGGGUAGCAAACAGGAUUAGAUACCCUGGUAGUCCACGCCGUAAACGAUGUCGACUAGCCGUUGGGUCCUUCGCGGACUUUGUGGCGCAGUUAACGCGAUAAGUCGACCGCCUGGGGAGUACGGCCGCAAGGUUAAAACUCAAAUGAAUUGACGGGGGCCCGCACAAGCGGUGGAGCAUGUGGUUUAAUU
This 932-nucleotide ribosomal RNA is filed under the name Billgrantia desiderata. Its description in RNAcentral is "bacterial SSU rRNA". It matches the Rfam family "Bacterial small subunit ribosomal RNA", at positions 28 to 951 of the family's 1533-position model. Lineage: Bacteria; Pseudomonadati; Pseudomonadota; Gammaproteobacteria; Oceanospirillales; Halomonadaceae. The record is from RNAcentral.